This 485-nucleotide long non-coding RNA is filed under the name Vombatus ursinus (common wombat). RNAcentral's name for it is "lncRNA (ENSVURG00010022846.1)". The record is from RNAcentral. Lineage: Eukaryota; Metazoa; Chordata; Mammalia; Diprotodontia; Vombatidae.
CGUAGGUCAUGUAGCCAAUGAAGAUGGGCCUGGUGGUGCUCGUCCGGAACCUGCUGCUCACCCUGUGCCUCUGCCUGGUGCUGGGCUUCAUGUACUACGCCGCCUGGAAGCUGCACCUCCUCCGAUGGGAAGACCCUAGAAGGAGAAAGAAGAACAAUGUGGCCUUUGACUUUCUGUCUCUGCUGCCCUCAGGCCUUGCUGUGGACUCAGGACAAUCCAGAACCCAGAAAGAGAUGAUCGAUGCCCGGGCUGCCCGGGGCCCAGCCCAGUCCAGGAGCUGCUGUCCAGCCAUGAGGUUCUGGCCUGGCCUGACAAUCCUGGGGCACCCUGGUGCUGGACUGAAGGAAGGCCAGAGGUAAUGAGGCUGGCAUGGCUAGUCUCUACCCCCUCUGCCUGCCUGCACCAAGCCAGGUCCUUCCCGCUGGGUGGUCCCCAGGAUCUGCAGCCAAAGACUAAACAGUUCUCCUUCACUGCCCACCAGCCGG